GUGAAGCGGCAACAGCUCAAAUUUGAAAUCUGGCGCCCCUGGGCGUCCGAGUUGUAAUUUGCAGAGGAUGCUUCGGGAUCGGCGCUGCCCCAGGUUCUUUGGAACAGGACGCCAUAGAGGGUGAGAGCCCCGUCUCUGGGCGGCAGCCGAAACCGUGUGAAGCGCCUUCGACGAGUCGAGUUGUUUGGGAAUGCAGCUCAAAACGGGAGGUAAAUUUCUUCCAAGGCUAAAUACAGGCCGGAGACCGAUAGCGCACAAGUAGAGUGAUCGAAAGAUGAAAAGUACUUUGGAAAGAGAGUCAAACAGCGCGUGAAAUUGUUGAAAGGGAAGCGCUUGCAGUCAGACUUGGCCGCCCGGUUCGGCGGGGCCUCGCGCCCCGUCUCCGCCGUGGCGGUCAGGCCAGCAUUGGUUCGGGCGACCGGAGAAAGGCUGCGGGAAUGUGGCUCCUCUCGGGGAGUGUUAUAGCCCGCGGCAGAAUACGGCCAGCCCGGACCAAGGAACGCGCUUCAGCUCGGAUGCUGGCGUAAUGGCUGCAAGCGGCCCGUCUUGAAACACGGACCAAGGAGUCUAACAUCUGUGCGAGUGUUUGGGUGUCAAGCCCUUGCGCGCAAUGAAAGUGAACGGAGGUGGGAGCCCUCGGGCGCACCAUCGACCGAUCCUGAUGUCUUCGGAAGGAUUUGAGUAAGAGCACAGCUGUUGGGACCCGAAAGAUGGUGAACUAUGCCUAAGCAUGGUGAAGCCAGAGGAAACUCUGGUGGAGG
RNAcentral lists this ribosomal RNA (761 nucleotides) under Gonatophragmium triuniae. RNAcentral's name for it is "partial large subunit ribosomal RNA". It matches the Rfam family "Eukaryotic large subunit ribosomal RNA", at positions 93 to 873 of the family's 3401-position model. Lineage: Eukaryota; Fungi; Ascomycota; Dothideomycetes; Acrospermales; Acrospermaceae. The record is from RNAcentral.